GUUCUGCUGUCUGACAUACUAGUACUGAAUGGCUGGAGGGAGGUUCUGCUGUCUGACAUACUAGUACUGAAUGGCUGGAGGGAGGUUCUGCUGUCUAACAUACUAGUACUGAAUGGCUGGAGGGAGGUUCUGCUGUCUGAAUGGCUGGAGGGAGGUUCUGCUGUCUGACAUACUAGUACUGAAUGGCUGGAGGGAGGUUCUGCUGUCUAACAUACUAGUACUGAAUGGCUGGAGGGAGGUUCUGCUGUCUGAAUGGCUGGAGGGAGGUUCUGCUGUCUGACAUACUAGUACUGAAUGGCUGGAGGGAGGUUCUGCUGUCUGACAUACUAGUACUGAAUGACUGGAGGGAGGUUCUG
Long non-coding RNA from Oncorhynchus keta (chum salmon), 356 nucleotides. RefSeq lists it as uncharacterized. Lineage: Eukaryota; Metazoa; Chordata; Actinopteri; Salmoniformes; Salmonidae. The record is from RefSeq and is a predicted model, not a curated record. The transcript is spliced from 3 exons.